This 219-nucleotide unclassified non-coding RNA is filed under the name plant metagenome. RNAcentral describes it as "partial contains small subunit ribosomal RNA, internal transcribed spacer 1, and 5.8S ribosomal RNA". The record is from RNAcentral.
UUUCCGUAGGUGAACCUGCGGAAGGAUCAUUACAGAGUUCUUGCCCUUACGGGUAGAUCUCCCACCCUUGAAUACAUACCUUUGUUGCUUUGGCGGGCCGCGCUUGCGCUACUGGCUUCGGCUAGUACGUGCCCGCCAGAGGACCACAACUCUUGUUUUUAGUGAUGUCUGAGUACUAUAUAAUAGUUAAAACUUUCAACAACGGAUCUCUUGGUUCUG